ACGCUGGCGGCACGCCUAACACAUGCAAGUCGAACGAAGUAGCAAUACUUAGUGGCAGACGGGUGAGUAACAUGUAGGUAUCUGCCCUUUGGCCUGGAAUAACACGAGGAAACUUGUGCUAAUACCGGAUAAGUCUUUACAGAGAAAGCUUUAUGCACCAUUGGAUGAGCCUGCACUUGAUUAGUUUGUUGGUGGGGUAAUGGCCUACCAAGACUGUGAUCAAUAGCUGAUUUGAGAGGAUGAUCAGCCACAUUGGGACUGAGACACGGCCCAAACUCCUACGGGAGGCAGCAGUGGGGAAUCUUGCACAAUGGAGGAAACUCUGAUCCAGCGAUGCCGCGUGAGUGAAGAAGGCCUUUGGGUUGUAAAGCUCUUUCGUCGGGGAAGAAAAUGACUGUACCCGAAUAAGAAGGUCCGGCUAACUUCGUGCCAGCAGCCGCGGUAAUACGAAGGGACCUAGCGUAGUUCGGAAUUACUGGGCUUAAAGAGUUCGUAGGUGGUUGAAAAAGUUAGUGGUGAAAUCCCAGAGCUUAACUCUGGAACUGCCAUUAAAACUUUUUAGCUAGAGUAUGAUAGAGGAAAGCAGAAUUUCUAGUGUAGAGGUGAAAUUCGUAGAUAUUAGAAAGAAUACCAAUUGCGAAGGCAGCUUUCUGGAUCAUUACUGACACUGAGGAACGAAAGCAUGGGUAGCGAAGAGGAUUAGAUACCCUCGUAGUCCAUGCCGUAAACGAUGUGUGUUAGACGUUGGAAAUUUAUUUUCAGUGUCGCAGCGAAAGCGAUAAACACACCGCCUGGGGAGUACGACCGCAAGGUUAAAACUCAAAUGAAUUGACGGGGACCCGCACAAGUAGUGGAGCAUGUGGUUUAAUUCGAAGAUACGCGCAGAACCUUACCAACACUUGACAUGUUCGUCGCGACUCUAAGAGAUUAGAGUUUUCGGUUCGGCCGGACGAAACACAGGUGCUGCAUGGCUGUCGUCAGCUCGUGUCGUGAGAUGUUGGGUUAAGUCCCGCAACGAGCGCAACCCUCACUUUUAGUUGCCAUCAUUAAGUUGGGCACUCUGAAAGAACUGCCAGUGAUAAGCUGGAGGAAGGUGGGGAUGACGUCAAGUCCUCAUGGCCCUUACGUGUUGGGCUACACACGUGCUACAAUGGUAUCUACAACAGGAAGCAAGACUGCGAAGUUAAGCAAAUCCCUAAAAGAUACCUCAGUUCGGAUUGCACUCUGCAACUCGAGUGCAUGAAGCUGGAAUUACUAGUAAUCGUGGAUCAGCGUGCCACGGUGAAUGCGUUCCCGGGUCUUGUACACACCGC
RNAcentral lists this ribosomal RNA (1313 nucleotides) under uncultured Alphaproteobacteria bacterium. RNAcentral describes it as "uncultured alpha proteobacterium 16S ribosomal RNA". It matches the Rfam family "Bacterial small subunit ribosomal RNA", at positions 33 to 1393 of the family's 1533-position model. Lineage: Bacteria; Pseudomonadati; Pseudomonadota; Alphaproteobacteria. The record is from RNAcentral.